CAGCAGCCGCGGGAAUACAGAGGGUGCGAGCGUUAAUCGGAUUUACUGGGCGUAAAGCGUGCGCAGGCGGUUAUAUAAGACAGAUGUGAAAUCCCCGGGCUCAACCUGGGAACUGCAUUUGUGACUGUAUAGCUAGAGUACGGCAGAGGGGGAUGGAAUUCCGCGUGUAGCAGUGAAAUGCGUAGAUAUGCGGAGGAACACCGAUGGCGAAGGCAAUCCCCUGGGCCUGUACUGACGCUCAUGCACGAAAGCGUGGGGAGCAAACAGGAUUAGAUACCCCCGUAGUCCCUGUCUCUUAUAA
RNAcentral lists this ribosomal RNA (301 nucleotides) under uncultured bacterium. Its description in RNAcentral is "partial 16S ribosomal RNA". It matches the Rfam family "Bacterial small subunit ribosomal RNA", at positions 509 to 809 of the family's 1533-position model. The record is from RNAcentral.